AGAGCGAGAAAAGCAAACCCAACCCGUCGGGGCCGCCGCUCCGGACCCGCAGCCGCCGCCGCCGCCGCCGCCUCCUCCCCCCGGAUCGGGUGUACUGUCCCAACCCGAAAGUCCAGUUCUGCGGCCCGGCAGCGGCGAGCGGGCGCGAUGACACAGGAGUACGACAACAAACGGCCAGUGUUGGUUCUUCAGAAUGAAGCACUUUAUCCACAGCGGCGGUCCUACACUAGUGAGGAUGAGGCCUGGAAAUCCUUCCUGGAAAACCCUCUCACUGCAGCGACCAAAGCGAUGAUGAGCAUCAAUGGAGACGAAGACAGCGCCGCUGCGCUGGGCCUGCUCUAUGACUACUACAAGGUUCCAAGAGAGAGAAGGUCAUCAACAGCAAAGCCAGAGGUGGAGCACCCCGAGCCAGAUCACAGCAAAAGGUAACAUUCAGUGCCUAACAGCAUAAAGAGUGCAGGGGGGAAAUGCCACGUUUCUGUAACAGCAAAAUGGGAGUUUGUUUAAAUGAACAACCACUAGUGAAAGAGAUAGGUAAGUUGGACUCUUACUAUCUAAAUUCAGAUUUCAUCACUGAUUUGCCUCUGUUGCUCUGAAAUUUCCUUUUUUCUUUGGGCGUAGUAGUUGCCUUUUCUAGGAUGAAAGCACUAACAUUCUCCUCCUCCAAAGGGAUAGUUUUAGUAAUAACUUCAGUAUUUGCUUAUUUGUUUUUGAGGUUUUCUUCAGAAGGAUGUGGCAGUGGUCUGUUAGAAAAAUUAAGCACCAGUGACUCUUGAACAACUGCCUGAGUAAAAUUGAAUAAAGCAAGUUAAAUUGUAUUCAAAUUCCUGUUGAAAUUAUUUGUGAAAUAUUUUAGAUUAAAACUUUCAGAAAAUUUAAUUAACGUUUGGCUAGCCAUGAAAAACUUUAAAAAGACACCUUUUAAAUUGUCUUGUGUUUUAUUAUCAAUCAAGGAAUGAAACAUAUUUAAAGGAAGAAUGAUCAUCACCCAGUAUCCCAUUAUCGUGAUGAUUGCUUUAUUCAUUGUUUUGAUGUGUAUGCAAAUUUUAUGUAGCGUAGUUGUGUUCACAGAUAGGAUUUGGUAGUGUACUUUCUUCUACUUAGUUUGUUUCAUAAACAUUUUCUCUGUGUUUUAAUCUUCAUAAUUAUCCUUUGGAAGAGGACUUGUGGCUUUUAUCUUUUACUUUUCAUUAUGGGCAUUUUCAAACAUAAUAAAAAUAGAAAAACAGUAUAAGCCCACAUGUAUCCAUGACCAGCCUCAACAGUUAUCAACACAAUUCCUCUUGUUUGGUUUGUUCUUCCCUCUUCUUCAACUUUGAGAUUAAUUCCUGGUUUUAUUUUAUUUAUUUUUGCUGGAACAUUCUGAAGCAAACUAAAUAUCCUUAUAAUUGCUGCUAUAUCUAGUUUUCACUAUUAUGAAGUCUUAAGGAACAACUUUCUAGACUUUUUCCGUUUUAGGAUAAAUUCCUGGGAGUGAAUUUAUGGUUCAGGGUUCAAACAGUUUUAUUGAUCUUGAAAUGUACAGAAUUCUCAAUUUGCCUGUUUCUUGAAGCUUCAGCCUAUAUGAUUUCUGGGGGCUUUGAAAAUUCAUUCAUUUUACCCACUGGAAAUCAUCUUGUAUUGCUCAAAUUAUUUAUCAAACCAAAAUUUAAUUUUAUAAAAAGCAGAUGUGUCUACUGAUACAAUGUAACAAUAGGUUUUCUUUGGUGAAAGAGAAAGCCAGGCCCGGCACAGUGGCUCACGCCUGUAAUCGCAGUGCUUUGGGAGGCUGAGGCAGGUGGAUCACCUGAGGUCAGGAGUUCGAGACCGGCCUGGCCAACAUGGUAAAACCCAGUCUCUACUAAAAAUACAAAAAUUAGCCAAGUGUGGUGGCACGCACCUGUAAUCCCAGCUACUCGGGAGGCUGAGGUGGGAGAAUCGCUUGAACCCGGGAGGCGGAGGUUGCAGUGAGCCUAGAUCAUGCCAUUGCACACCAGCCUGGGCCAUAAGGGCAAGACUCUGUCUCAAAAAAAUAAAAAAUUUAAAAAAAAAAAAGGAGAAAGCCAAAUGGCAUAGGUGGUAGGAAAAGUGGUGACCAAGUAAUAAUAGCUCAUACUUCUUGAAGACUGUGUGUCAGGCAUUAUUAUACACCUUUUAGUGUAUCAUCUCAUCUCAACCUGAUGAGAAUGGAUGCCAUUAUUGUCCCCAUUUUACAGAUGAGGAUUCAGUUACUAAGAGAUGAAGUAACUUGCUCAGGUGACACAGAACUUGAACCCAGGCAAUUUGACCCUGGCGUCUAUGCUGUAACCCCAGUUGAUCAGAUCACAUAGCUUCAGGUUUCUAGUAAAACACAGUAAUUGUUUUUAGGAUUAUGGAAAGUAAAGCUUGUUAGAGGAGAGCUCUGAGCCCUUAGUAUUUCGAAUGAAAUUUUACUUAAUAUGUUUGGAUUUUAUUUGACCGAUAACCAGAAAGCCUUUUUCCCUUUAUCUAGUAAUGGGUAGUUUCGAUGUUUUCUGUUUAUUCUGUCAAGUGUUAUUGCACAGGACCCAACAGCCCAAUGCCAUUAGGAAAAUAAAAAUUGUCAAAGAACUACAUCAGCAUCGUGUUUGAAAGCAGUUUUCUUUUCUUAAAGAAACAGCAUACCAGUUGUGACAGAGCAGCCCCUCAUCUCUGCUGGAGAAAACAGAGUGCAAGUACUGAAAAAUGUGCCGUUUAACAUUGUCCUUCCCCAUGGCAACCAGCUGGGCAUUGAUAAGAGAGGCCAUCUGACAGCUCCAGAUACGACAGUCACUGUCUCCAUAGCAACGAUGCCUACCCACUCCAUCAAGACAGAAACCCAGCCACAUGGCUUCGCUGUGGGAAUCCCCCCAGCAGUGUAUCAUCCUGAGCCCACUGAGCGGGUGGUGGUUUUCGAUCGGAAUCUCAGUACUGACCAGUUCAGCUCUGGUGCUCAAGCCCCAAAUGCUCAAAGGCGAACUCCAGACUCGACCUUCUCAGAGACCUUCAAGGAAGGCGUUCAGGAGGUUUUCUUCCCCUCGGAUCUCAGUCUGCGGAUGCCUGGCAUGAAUUCAGAGGACUAUGUUUUUGACAGUGUUUCUGGGAACAACUUUGAAUAUACCCUAGAAGCUUCAAAAUCACUUCGACAGAAGCCAGGAGACAGUACCAUGACAUACCUGAACAAAGGCCAGUUCUAUCCCAUCACCUUGAAGGAGGUGAGCAGCAGUGAAGGAAUCCAUCAUCCCAUCAGCAAAGUUCGAAGUGUGAUCAUGGUGGUUUUUGCUGAAGACAAAAGCAGAGAAGAUCAGUUAAGGCAUUGGAAGUACUGGCACUCCCGGCAGCACACUGCUAAACAAAGAUGCAUUGACAUAGGUAAGCAGCUCAAGAGCCUGCUUUUAUUCCCAGAGGUGCAGCCAUCCAGUUUUCUAAAUCCAAUUAUUUUUGGCAGUGAUCAGCUUCCUGCCGAAAGCAUUUGAAUUUUUGUGCCAGCUACUGAUCUGUUCCAAACACUGUCCUCGGCCUCCUGGAACCAGUGCUCUCACCAUUGCUCCCAUGCAGUAAUGGGACAUGUGCCCACGUGGUGGCUUUCCAGAGGACACUAGGGCCAGAAGCCAUGUAGCUGGCUAACCUGAGAAUGUCCCCACUGUUCAGUCUGCAAUUGCUUUAAGGGGUAAUAUCUUCUUUAAAAGAUUCUGAUUAUUAUUUGGAGAUGAUGGAGGUAGAGAAAAAAACAAGUAAAAGAAAGAUAUUGCUGCUGUGCAGUUGCCUAACAGUCUUCCCUAGUCACGUGCUAAACCGUGUAACUAACCUCUCUGUGGGCUGUAGUGGCAAACCUGUGCAAAUCUGUAUUUACUGAAGUAGCGUUACACAGACCUCUGUUCUUGCCAUGUAUGUAAUUUUCAUGUAAAACCAUUGUCUGUAUCACAGAUGGCUGUUUAAUAUUAGUGUUACUUUUUUUCUUUACCUUUUGUAAUGCUCUUGUUUCCUUUUCAGGAGAAUGAGAACUCAGUUCUAAUCUUGGUUCUACAGAGUAGUUUUGUGACCUUGGGACUGUUAUUUAAACUUUUUAGACCUAAAUUUCCUAAUUGUGACAUAAUGAGAUUGAAUUAAAUAUGUCUAAGCUUGCCUCUAUUACAAAAACUCUGUGAUUCUUUUUCUUCGUAUUUUGAACUUCUUCUAAUUGAACAAAAUGUUAAUUUAAAUUGUCCAGAGGUGAUAAUGUUAAAAACUAGAUCUUAUUUUGAACUGCUGGGAUCCCAUGUUGAAACUAAAACUCAUGCGUUUUCAUUUUCUCUUCCACCGCUUCCUAUAGCUGACUAUAAAGAAAGCUUCAACACUAUCAGUAACAUCGAGGAGAUUGCGUAUAACGCCAUUUCCUUCACGUGGGACAUCAACGAUGAAGCAAAGGUGGGUGGUGAGGUCUGGGCGCCUUAUGUCCAGCCAUUUGAGAAAUGGGAGGAGUUUAAUGAUUUCACAACUGAUUUUUUGUUUUUCACAGUUUUAUGUGUUUCAUUCUCAGGUGUUAUGAAACUAUCCUCUCCCCUUUUUAUUCUCCCCUCCACCAAAACAGACCAUUUUUGUUGCCAUCCUUUGCACAGAGUCCAGUGUGUGAAACAUUGAGAUUAAGUUGCACUCUGCCACUCCUGCCUGUUCAGCCUUGAGUCUGACUCCUCAUUUGCUUUGCCUCAUUUCCUCAUUUGCACAGUGGAGGUGAUAUCUGUCUCCUCCCUAUUCAAGGAGGUGUAAGGAGUAAUGAAACAAUGCCCAUCAGACUGUUGGAGUGGCUUUGAGAAAGGCUCUUAAAUAUAAGUGAUUAUUAGUAGUACUCUGUUUCAUAUCAUCACCUUGUAAAUAUGACUCUGUGUUAAGAUUCUUCUGUCUUGGGCUUUUCCCAUUGAAGAGUUGCCUCCAGUUCAGUUGGAGUAACUCUAAUUGGCUAGAGUUACUCCAUGUGGGCGACUCUAAUGGGAAUUUUUGUGCCCUUUAAGAAAAAUUCAGCAUAUUCUUAAGUCCUUUCUGCCUUGCCCCUGCCUUCUUCCCUGUGAGUGUGAUCCUUCUCCACUCAAUUAUUAGAGUUCCUGUAUUUCUUUCUUUCUUUGGAUUACUUUAAAAACUGGGAGCUCAAGAAACUGAAUAGAGGCCAGAAGUGGUGGCUCACACUUGUAAUCCCAGCACUUUGGGAGGCUGCGGCGGGUGGGUCACUUGAGGCCAGGAGUUUGAGACCAGCCUGGCCAACAUGGUGAAACCCUGUCUCUACUAAAAAUACAAAAAGUAACCAGGCGUGGUGGCACACGCUUCUAAUCCCAGCUACUCUGGAGGUUGAGGCAGGAGAAUCGCUUGAACCCGGGAGACGGGGGUUACAGUGAGCUGAGAUCACGCCACUGCACUCCAGCCUAGGCAACAGAGUGAGACCCUGUCCCCCCC
This 5400-nucleotide small RNA is filed under the name Pan troglodytes (chimpanzee). RNAcentral describes it as "retained intron". Lineage: Eukaryota; Metazoa; Chordata; Mammalia; Primates; Hominidae. The record is from RNAcentral.